This 458-nucleotide ribosomal RNA is filed under the name uncultured bacterium. RNAcentral describes it as "SSU rRNA". It matches the Rfam family "Bacterial small subunit ribosomal RNA", at positions 26 to 518 of the family's 1533-position model. The record is from RNAcentral.
AGAAUCAACGCUGGCGGCGUGCCUAACACAUGCAAGUCGAACGAGAAAGUGGAGCAAUCCAUGAGUACAGUGGCGACCGGGUGAGUAACACGUGACUACCUACCCUUGAGUGGGGGAUAACCUCGGGAAACCGAGGCUAAUACCGCAUAAUAUCGAGAGAUCAAAGGAGUAAUCCGCUUUUGGAGGGGGUCGCGGCUGAUUAGCUAGUUGGUAGGGUAAUGGCCUACAAAGGCGAAGAUCGGUAUCCGGCCUGAGCGGGCGCACGGACACACUGGAACUGAAACACGGUCCAGACUCCUACGGGAGGCAGCAGUGGGAAUUUUGCGCAAUGGGGGAAACCCUGACGCAGCAACGCCGCGUGGAGGAUGAAGCCCCUUGGGGUGUAAACUCCUUUCGACCGGGAAAAUAAUGAUGGUACCGGUGGAAGAAGCACCGGCUAACUCUGUGCCAGCAGCCGC